GACGAACGCUGGCGGCGUGCUUAAGACAUGCAAGUCGAACGGAGAUACUCAUGAAGCUUGCGAUUGAGUAUCUUAGUGGCGGACGGGUGAGUAACGCGUGGGUAACCUGCCCUAUGGUCCGGGAUAACAUUCCGAAAGGGAUGCUAAGACCGGAUAUGCUCACAGCUCGGCAUCGAGCAGGGAGGAAAGGUAGCGCCAUAGGAUGGACCCGCGUCCCAUUAGCUAGUUGGUGAGGUAACGGCUCACCAAGGCGACGAUGGGUAGCCGGCCUGAGAGGGUGACCGGCCACACUGGGACUGAGACACGGCCCAGACUCCUACGGGAGGCAGCAGUCGGGAAUUUUCGGCAAUGGGGGGAACCCUGACCGAGCAACGCCGCGUGAGGGAAGAAGGUCUUCGGAUCGUAAACCUUUGUCAUCAGGGACGAUCAUGACGGUACCUGAGGAGGAAGCCACGGCUAACUACGUGCCAGCAGCCGCGGUAAGAGUCACGUCG
Molecule: ribosomal RNA, 494 nt
Filed under: uncultured bacterium
Lineage: Bacteria
Description: bacterial SSU rRNA
Rfam family: Bacterial small subunit ribosomal RNA
Source: RNAcentral